UACGUAGGGGGCAAGCGUUGUCCGGAUUCAUUGGGCGUAAAGAGCGUGUAGGCGGCCAGGUAGGUCGGUUGUGAAAACUGGAGGCUCAACCUUCAGAGGUCGACCGAAACCAUCUGGCUAGAGUCCGGGAGAGGAGAGUGGAAUUCCUGGUGUAGCGGUGAAAUGCGCAGAUAUCAGGAGGAACACCGAUGGCGAAGGCAGGUCUCUGGGCCACUACUGACGCUGAGAAGCGAAAGCACGGGGAGCGAACAGG
Molecule: ribosomal RNA, 253 nt
Filed under: uncultured bacterium
Lineage: Bacteria
Description: partial 16S ribosomal RNA
Rfam family: Bacterial small subunit ribosomal RNA
Source: RNAcentral